UGUCUCUGUGAUUAUCUGAUGGUACU
This 26-nucleotide non-coding RNA is filed under the name Rattus norvegicus (Norway rat). The record is from RNAcentral. Lineage: Eukaryota; Metazoa; Chordata; Mammalia; Rodentia; Muridae.